Molecule: ribosomal RNA, 428 nt
Filed under: uncultured bacterium
Lineage: Bacteria
Description: bacterial SSU rRNA
Rfam family: Bacterial small subunit ribosomal RNA
Source: RNAcentral
UGGGGAAUUUUGGACAAUGGGGGAAACCCUGAUCCAGCCAUCCCGCGUGUGCGAUGAAGGCCUUCGGGUUGUAAAGCACUUUUGGCAGGAAAGAAACGUCGUGGGUUAAUACCCCGCGAAACUGACGGUACCUGCAGAAUAAGCACCGGCUAACUACGUGCCAGCAGCCGCGGUAAUACGUAGGGUGCAAGCGUUAAUCGGAAUUACUGGGCGUAAAGCGUGCGCAGGCGGUUCGGAAAGAAAGAUGUGAAAUCCCAGAGCUUAACUUUGGAACUGCAUUUUUAACUACCGAGCUAGAGUGUGUCAGAGGGAGGUGGAAUUCCGCGUGUAGCAGUGAAAUGCGUAGAUAUGCGGAGGAACACCGAUGGCGAAGGCAGCCUCCUGGGAUAACACUGACGCUCAUGCACGAAAGCGUGGGGAGCAAACAG